GGAGAGAUGGCCGAGCGGUUGAAGGCGCGCGCCUGGAAAGUGCGUAUACCUUAACAGGGUAUCGGGGGUUCGAAUCCCUCUCUCUCCGCCA
RNAcentral lists this transfer RNA (91 nucleotides) under Flavobacteriales bacterium. RNAcentral's name for it is "tRNA-Ser". It matches the Rfam family "tRNA". Rfam says of the family: Transfer RNA (tRNA) molecules are approximately 80 nucleotides in length. Their secondary structure includes four short double-helical elements and three loops (D, anti-codon, and T loops). The record is from RNAcentral. Lineage: Bacteria; Pseudomonadati; Bacteroidota; Flavobacteriia; Flavobacteriales.